GAGUUUGAUCUUGGCUCAGGACGAACGCUGGCGGCGUGCUUAACACAUGCAAGUGGUGCGACGAACCAGGGCUUGCCCUGGGGCAAAGCCGCGAACGGGUGAGUAACACGUGAGUAACCUGCCCCGAUGACCGGGACAACCCGAGGAAACUCGGGCUAAUACCGGAUGUGGUGCACGGAUUUAAGUCUGUGUACUAAAGGAAGCUUCGGCCUCCGCAUUGGGAGGGGCUCGCGGCCCAUUAGCUCGUUGGUGGGGUAACGGCCUACCAAGGCAACGAUGGGUAGCUGGUCUGAGAGGACGAUCAGCCACACUGGGACUGAGACACGGCCCAGACUCCUACGGGAGGCAGCAGUAGGGAAUAUUGGACAAUGGGCGCAAGCCUGAUCCAGCCAUGCCGCGUGAGUGAAGAAGGCCCUCGGGUUGUAAAGCUCUUUUGUCCGGAAAGAAAAGCGCCGGGUUAAUACCCUGGUGUCCUGACGGUACCGGAAGAAUAAGCACCGGCUAACUUCGUGCCAGCAGCCGCCGCCGU
This 529-nucleotide ribosomal RNA is filed under the name uncultured Actinomycetes bacterium. Its description in RNAcentral is "bacterial SSU rRNA". It matches the Rfam family "Bacterial small subunit ribosomal RNA", at positions 9 to 524 of the family's 1533-position model. Lineage: Bacteria; Bacillati; Actinomycetota; Actinomycetes. The record is from RNAcentral.